ACAGCCCCACAGCCUUCGCAGGGAGAGCAGCGGCUGGCUGCUAGUGAGGCUGGACUGUGGGCUCCCACGGAGGGAGGCUGAGUGAGCACCAGUGCCCGACCUGCCUGGCCCUCCAGAUGGCUGGGCAGGAGGCCAGCAGGCCCCGCGCCUGCUUCCCAGCCAGACAUCCGAGGAUCCUGAACAGUCUCUGCUCUCUUCCCGGUGGAAGCGGCGCAGUGAGGAAUGGCAGGCUUCCCUGGCCUGGGAUCCCACCUCGGGCGGCUGGCAAGGCCGGAGCCAUCCUAAGGCCCUUCUCUUCCAGAAAAAAUACAUACACUAAAACAUCAUGCCUACCAGGGGGAACGUGAAUCUCAAACGCAACAGUAAUUCAGUAAUUCUUAACACCCGUGACCGUCCCACCAUCACCUCCCUCGUUCAAAACUGUAAGAAGCAUUCGACGGAGACUUUGAUUUGACGUAGAAAGAUCGUGCCUGCUAUGGUGAGGCUGCAGGCACGAGCCAUUAAGUAACCGAGUAUUCCUGCUCAGGAACCAAGCGCUGUUUCCUGUGAAGGACCACUCACUCGGUGCUGUGGGCACUCCAGGGCUCAUUACCCCACCCCUCUAUUCUUAUGGACGUUUCAACAUUUCCAUAAUCAAAAGCUACUCUUAAAAAAUGUUUUCCACCAAA
Molecule: long non-coding RNA, 668 nt
Organism: Homo sapiens (human)
Lineage: Eukaryota; Metazoa; Chordata; Mammalia; Primates; Hominidae
Exons: 2
Source: RefSeq, a predicted model, not a curated record